AAACACUUUCUUUUGGGAUUUUCGAUUUUUAAAUGAAUCAAACAAACUUUUUCUGUUCUUUUUCGUGGCUUUAAAGUAUGAUGAACAGCAAGAACAAAAAUAUGCAGAAACAAAACUUGAAACAAAAAGAAACAGUUUUUAUGGAUUUUCGGUUUAUGAAUGGAAAAACAAAUGCAAGCAAGUAUGAGAUGCAAGGAUAGAUAUCACCUGUGUCAGGAGCUUAAGCUCUGAUACCAAAAUGUUGUAGGCACAGGGGGGGUAACCCACGAAUGGAUAGAAUGGUGGAACCAAGGUUUCAACCUGAAAACAAGAGAACCGAUUUUUAUGAGUUUUU
Molecule: long non-coding RNA, 334 nt
Filed under: Brassica rapa (field mustard)
Lineage: Eukaryota; Viridiplantae; Streptophyta; Magnoliopsida; Brassicales; Brassicaceae
Description: long non-coding RNA (BRAP_LNC008644)
Source: RNAcentral